CCAGUCAGCUGGACAGUCGCGAGGUAUUGCCUCGAGGAAAGUCCGGGCUCCCCCUGGCACGGUGGUGGGUAACACCCACCCGGAGUGAUCCGCGGGCCAGUGCCACAGAAAGCAAACCGCCUGCUAUGCAGGUAAGGGUGAAAGGGUGGUGUAAGAGACCACCGCGGCGCCAGCGAUGGUGCCGGCACGGUAAACCCCACCGGGAGCAAGGUCAUGCAGGAGGCGCCAAGGCUGCCAGGCCGAGUCUCCGGGUAGGCCGCUCGAGGUCGUCGGUAACGGCGAUCCUAGAUAGAUGACUGUUGAAACAGAACCCGGCUUAUAGGCUGGCUGGUCCG
Molecule: non-coding RNA, 335 nt
Organism: Dermabacter sp. HFH0086
Lineage: Bacteria; Bacillati; Actinomycetota; Actinomycetes; Micrococcales; Dermabacteraceae
Rfam family: Bacterial RNase P class A
About the family: Ribonuclease P (RNase P) is a ubiquitous endoribonuclease, found in archaea, bacteria and eukarya as well as chloroplasts and mitochondria. Its best characterised activity is the generation of mature 5'-ends of tRNAs by cleaving the 5'-leader elements of precursor-tRNAs. Cellular RNase Ps are ribonucleoproteins.
Source: Rfam